RNAcentral lists this ribosomal RNA (287 nucleotides) under uncultured bacterium. RNAcentral describes it as "partial 16S ribosomal RNA". It matches the Rfam family "Bacterial small subunit ribosomal RNA", at positions 775 to 1067 of the family's 1533-position model. The record is from RNAcentral.
GGAUUAGAUACCCUGGUAGUCCACGCCGUAAACGAUGGUCACUAGCUGUUUGGACUUCGGUCUGAGUGGCUAAGCGAAAGUGAUAAGUGACCCACCUGGGGAGUACGUUCGCAAGAAUGAAACUCAAAGGAAUUGACGGGGGCCCGCACAAGCGGUGGAGCAUGUGGUUUAAUUCGAUGAUACGCGAGGAACCUUACCAGGGCUUAAAUGUGGAAUGACAGGUCUAGAGACAGACUUUUCUUCGGACAUUUCACAAGGUGCUGCAUGGUUGUCGUCAGCUCGUGCCG